This is a long non-coding RNA of Bolinopsis microptera, 564 nucleotides long. RefSeq lists it as uncharacterized. The record is from RefSeq and is a predicted model, not a curated record. The transcript is spliced from 5 exons. NCBI's taxonomy places the organism in Eukaryota, Metazoa, Ctenophora, Tentaculata, Lobata, Bolinopsidae.
GGAAUGCCUGUAAUCUACAUCCGAAUUGUUUGGUUCGUCAGCUCGUUGUGACUUGUGACUCAUUUCUAAUUCUUGAUUUCGUGUCUUUGUAAGCUUACACUAAACCUGGCCUGAUUUAUUAGCUUGUUUAAAUCGACGCAUCUUUGUUGACGAGACACUUAUACUUCUUGGCAGUGACUGAGUUUCAAGAAACUUUGAAAAACAAUUUUGAGAAGAAACCUGUUUCCUUAUUCCUAACUAAUCUAUCUUGACCUUGUGAAGACUUCGUCCUACCCCAGGUUAUCAAAUAUCAGUGAUAAGAAGUACAGGAUCACAACAACUUAUUCGAGCAACUACUUUCUAACUGGUAUCUAUCUUGUGAAGACUCUCUCCUCAACCCCAAGUUAUCAGUGACUGAGUUUCAAGAAACUUUGAAAAACGAUUUUGAGAAGAAACCUGUUUCCUUAUUCCUAACUAAUCUAUUUUGACCUUGUGAAGACUUCGUCCUACCCCAGGUUAUCAAAUAUCAGUGAAGUACAGGAUCUCAACAACUUAUUCGAGCAACUACCUUCUAACUGGUAUCUA